ACUGCCUGGGCGGGUAGCUGGGAAGUCAGCAGCGCCUGCGCGGGCGUCGACUGGUUGUGGGGGUGGAGGAUGCGCGCGCAGCGCCUCCGGCCUAAGCGGAAGUUUCCGCUGGACAGCCAAAGAAGCACCACAACAAGAAAAGAAAUUGCCUCCAUCAGUAAGUGGCAGAAGCAGGAUUCAAACCCAGGCCGCUGUCAAGAUGGAGUUUCCAGCCCAGUGAAUCUGAAGACCAGACUGUGACCCCAUAAAGCAUGAUCUCCUUCUGUCCAGACUGUGGCAAAAGUAUUGAAGCCACAUUCAAAUUCUGCCCCUACUGUGGAAAACCUUUGCCUACAGAGGAGCAUGCAAAGUCCCCGACGUGUGUCAGGCGACGGGAAUCGUCCUUGCAAGGUUCAAAGAGAGAGCAGAGCUCCAGGUCUGAAACCUCUCCCAAGAAAGUGAGAUGGUCAAACAUUGUCAUCUCUUCCCAGUCAUCCUUUCUCUCUGACGGUGGCAGUCCUGAGCCAGAAGAUGCCGUGAGUUCUUCUGAGAGGUCCAAAGGGGCCAGGAGCAGACCCCCAACCCCCAAAAGCAGCCCAAAGUCCACCAAGUGCAGCCCUCAGACGCUGAAGCGGAGUCGGGCAACCAUCUCUCUUGAGGCUUUGCCCUCGGGGACAGAGCUGAUGGACAAAAAUGGGCAGCGCUGGAGGCUGGGAGCGCUGCAGACCAGGGACGACCAGGGCAUUCUCUACGCAGCCGAGUCCGCCUCUGUCCUCCCCUGCCAGUCAAGGUCUCAAAAACACCAAUUCUCCAUCAAACUGGAUGCCAAAGAUGGUCGCCUGUUCAAUGAGCAGAACUUCUUCCAGCGGGCUGCCAAGCCUCUACAAGUGAAUAAAUGGAAGAAGCUGUACUCAACCCCGCUCCUGGCCAUCCCCACCUGUAUCGGUUUUGGUGUUCACCAGGACAAGUACAGGUUCUUGGUGUUCCCCAGCCUGGGUCGGAGCCUGCAGUCAGCCCUGGAUGUGAGCCCGAAGCAUGUGAUACCGGAGAAGUGUGUGUUCCAGGUGGCCUGCCGGCUGCUGGAUGCCCUGGAAUUCCUCCAUGAAAAUGAGUAUGUUCAUGGGAAUCUGACAGCAGAGAAUGUCUUUGUGAAUCCAGAAGAUCUGAGCCAGGUGACCCUGGCAGGCUACAGCUUCUCCUUCCGCUAUUGCCCAAGUGGCAGACAUGUGGCCUACACAGAAGGCAGCAGGAGCCCCCACGAGGGGGACCUCGAGUUCAUUAGCAUGGAUCUACAUAAAGGAUGUGGGCCCUCUCGCCGGAGUGACCUCCAGACCCUUGGCUACUGUAUGCUGAAGUGGCUUUAUGGGUCCCUGCCGUGGACAAACUUCCUUCCCAACACUGAGGAGAUCAUGAAGCAGAAGCAGAAACAUGAUGGGAUGAAUGAAAUAAGCACGACACAGAGUUCAAGUCCCACAGGCUUUCUGCUGUGGGUGCCCCUCGAAGAGUGCAAAUGGGUGUUCCCGAAUCGACAGUGUUUAUUACUAAGGUAUCUUGACAACCCAGAGCCACUCGGACUGUGUGGUCACCGCAGCAGAUCCUCAGAGGCCCUGCAGCAGUACCUGAUGGUGGUGAUGGCCCUCAAGUACGAGGAGAAGCCGCCCUACGCCAUCCUGAGGAACGGUCUGGAAGCCCUGCUGCAGGAUCUGCAGGUGUCAGCCUAUGACCCCCUCAACCUACAGAUGGCACCCAGGCAGGACCCAGGGCGCCAAGGGGCAUCUGGCAGAGCCUGGGGACACUUUUGGCUGCACCAGCUUAGGAGAGCGUGCAACUGAGCACCCAGCCGCAGAGGCCAGGGCCGCUGAUCAGCAUGGAUACCACAUAGCACAGCCCUGCCGCUGUCACCAGCAGAGACCUACCUGCCAGGUGUCACCAGGGAGCUGUUGAGAUCGCCUGAUCUGGGACCUUCUGAGCAGCACCACCCAGAACUUUCAACCUGCCGUUUGAAAUAGAAAAAUGAAGCUGUGUGAGCCAAGGCCUGCCGUUUAGUCGCAGAUGAGUUCUAGGAAAAUCCCUGGAAUGUGCAUUGCCACCCCUUCUCCAGUGCUGAUCAGCUCAGGGAGCCCUGCGGGUAAUGUGAAGCUCCUCUUCUCACUGCUGUCUCACAGCCUCCAGGCAUGAGGAUGAAGACUCCAACUCAGGCGAGCUGGGCCCCUCACUAAGACCCUCCUGGUCCCACCGUGCUUUAAUAAUAAGUCAUUUUCUUGAGCA
This is an RNA transcript of Heterocephalus glaber (naked mole-rat), 2247 nucleotides long. It is a transcript of the gene named VRK serine/threonine kinase 3, with no coding region annotated. NCBI's taxonomy places the organism in Eukaryota, Metazoa, Chordata, Mammalia, Rodentia, Bathyergidae. The record is from RefSeq and is a predicted model, not a curated record.